This 499-nucleotide ribosomal RNA is filed under the name uncultured bacterium. RNAcentral describes it as "bacterial SSU rRNA". It matches the Rfam family "Bacterial small subunit ribosomal RNA", at positions 8 to 518 of the family's 1533-position model. The record is from RNAcentral.
AGAGUUUGAUUCUGGCUCAGGAUGAACGCUGGCGGCGUGCUUAACACAUGCAAGUCGAACGGAGUUACAUGAACCUAGUGAUUGUAAACUAGUGGCGGACGGGUGAGGUAACGCGUGGGUAACCUGCCGUAUACCGGGGGAUAACACUUAGAAAUAGGUGCUAAUACCGCAUAAGCGCACAUGAUCGCAUGAUCAAGUGUGAAAAACUCCGGUGGUAUACGAUGGGACCCGCGUCUGAUUAGAUAGUUGGUGAGGUAACGGCCCACCAAGUCAACGAUCAGUAGCCGGCCUGAGAGGGUGAACGGCCACAUUGGGACUGAGACACGGCCCAAACUCCUACGGGAGGCAGCAGUGGGGAAUAUUGGACAAUGGGGGCAACCCUGAAUCCAGCGACGCCGCGUGAGUGAAGAAGUAUUUCGGUAUGUAAAGCUCUAUCAGCAGGGAAGAAAAUGACGGUACCUGACUAAGAAGCCCCGGCUAACUACGUGCCAGCCGCGGC